UAAAGACCUUGAUGGUUAUUAAGAGUCAUAUGUUUUAUAGAAGGGCCACCAACUUAGAUUUUUCUGAUGUUUUCUUAUGAUUACACCAAAGUUAUCAAUUUGAGGGAAGAAUGUACCCUUCAUGUUGCAUAAUUUUAGGGGAACGUGACUGAUGAAGUAAACUUUGAUCACUUGGCCAAGGUCAUCACACAAGUAUGAUAUGUUGUCCCUACAUGUAAAUGCAACUCAGAAUGUUUUCUAAUUUCCUUUAUGACUUCCACUUUGACUCAUGAGUUAUUUAGAAGCAUGUUGCUUAUUUCACAAAUAUUUGGGGAUUUUCCAGAUAUUUCUGUUAUUCUAAUUUUAUUCUGUUGUGGUCAGAUAACAUACUUUGUGUGCUUUCAGUUAUUUUAAAUUUGUUGAGGAUUGUUUUAUGACCAAGAAUAUGAUUUAGCUUGAUGAAUGUUUCAUGUGCACUUGAAAAGAAUGUGUAUUCUGCUGUUGUUUAGUUGAAUGCUCUUUAAAUGUCAACUAGGUAAAGUUGGUUGAUAGUGUUGUUCAGGUCUUCUGUAUCCUUAUUUAUUUUUUCUCUAUUUUUUCUAUCAUUUAUUGAGGACUGUUGAGGUGUAACUGUAAUUGUGGGUUUGUAUGUUUCUAUUCAGGUCUAUCAUUUUUGCUUCAUGUAUUUUGAAACUCUUGGUUAGAGACAGGGUCUUGCUGUGUUGUCCAGACUGGUGUUGAACUCCUGGUUUCAAGCGAUCCUCCCACCUGGGAUUACAGGCAUGAGCCACUAUGCCCAAUCAUCUCUCUGAGCUUCUUGGAUCUGUAGUUUGUAUCUUUCAUUAUUUUCUGAAGAUUCUUGGCUAAUUUCUCUUUAAAUAUUUCUUCUUUAAAAAAUAUCUACUUCAAAUACCUAAUAUAGAUGACGGGUUGAUGG
This 916-nucleotide long non-coding RNA is filed under the name Homo sapiens (human). Its description in RNAcentral is "non-protein coding lnc-P4HA2-6:1". The record is from RNAcentral. Lineage: Eukaryota; Metazoa; Chordata; Mammalia; Primates; Hominidae.